GCGGAGGGGACGGCGGUGGCGGGGGAGGAGAUGGAGGUUUGGGUGACGGCGGCUCAGGAGACGGUGGCGGCGGAGGAGGGGAAGGAGGAGGCGACGGAGGAGGAGACGGCGGAGGAGAAGGAGGAGGGGAAGGUGGAGGGGAAGGAGGCUUAAGCGAGGGUGGCUCCGGAGACGGCGGCGGCGGCGGCGGAGAGGGAGGCUCAGGCGAAGGCGGCUCAGGUGAGGGUGGCGGCGGCGGAGGGGACGGAUGCGGUGACGGGGGAGGGGACGGAGGAGGGGACGGAGGAGGGGACGGCGGUGGCGGGGGAGGAGAAGGAGGUUUGGGUGACGGCGGCUCAGGAGACGGUGGCGGCGGAGGAGGGGAAGGAGGAGGAGACGGAGGAGGAGACGGCGGAGGAGAAGGAGGGGAAGGUGGAGGGGAAGGAGGCUUGGGCGAGGGUGGCUCCGGAGACGGCGGCGGCGGCGGCGGAGAGGGAGGCUCAGGCGAGGGCGGCUCAGGAGACGGUGGCGGCGGAGGAGGGGAAGGAGGAGGCGACGGAGGAGGAGACGGCGGAGGAGAAGGAGGAGGGGAAGGAGGAGGGGAAGGAGGCUUGGGCGAGGGUGGCUCCGGAGACGGCGGCGGUGGCGGCGGAGAGGGAGGCUC
RNAcentral lists this long non-coding RNA (643 nucleotides) under Chlamydomonas reinhardtii. RNAcentral's name for it is "long non-coding RNA (CREI_LNC001138)". Lineage: Eukaryota; Viridiplantae; Chlorophyta; Chlorophyceae; Chlamydomonadales; Chlamydomonadaceae. The record is from RNAcentral.